UACGAAGGGGGCUAGCGUUGAUCGGAAUUACUGGGCGUAAAGGGCGCGUAGGCGGUCUUGUAAGUCAGAUGUGAAAGCCCCGGGCUCAACCCGGGAAUAGCAUUUGAUACUGCGAGGCUUGAGUCCGGGAGAGGAUGGCGGAAUUCCCAGUGUAGAGGUGAAAUUCGUAGAUAUGGGGAAGAACACAGGUGGCGAAGGCGGCCAUCUGGACCGGUACUGACGCUGAGGCGCGAAAGCGUGGGGAGCAAACAGG
RNAcentral lists this ribosomal RNA (253 nucleotides) under uncultured bacterium. RNAcentral describes it as "partial 16S ribosomal RNA". It matches the Rfam family "Bacterial small subunit ribosomal RNA", at positions 524 to 776 of the family's 1533-position model. The record is from RNAcentral.